RNAcentral lists this RNase P RNA (424 nucleotides) under Acidobacteriota bacterium. RNAcentral's name for it is "RNase P RNA component class A". It matches the Rfam family "Bacterial RNase P class A". From Rfam's summary of the family: Ribonuclease P (RNase P) is a ubiquitous endoribonuclease, found in archaea, bacteria and eukarya as well as chloroplasts and mitochondria. Its best characterised activity is the generation of mature 5'-ends of tRNAs by cleaving the 5'-leader elements of precursor-tRNAs. The record is from RNAcentral. Lineage: Bacteria; Pseudomonadati; Acidobacteriota.
CGGAGAGCUCCAGGCGGUCGCUCCGCAGCGCCUCCGGGCGGGUGCGGAGAGGAAAGUCCGAGCUCCAACGGGCAGCAUGCUCGCUAACGGCGAGGCGCGGCGACGCGACGGAAAGUGCAACAGAGAAGAGACCGCCCGGUGUCGGGCCCGCAAGGGUCGGGCGCCAGGUAAGGGUGAAACGGUGCGGUAAGAGCGCACCGCUCCGGCGGCGACGGCGGAGGCAAGGCAAACCCCAUGCGGAGCAAGACCAAAUAGGGAAGCGGUAGUCGGGCUGCCCGUCCCGCCUCCGGGCUCGAUUCGUCGGGUCAGGGGCCGCUUCCGGGUAGGUUGCUCGAGGCCGGCGGCAACGCCGGUCCCAGAGGAAUGACCGGCAACCGGCGCUUGCGCCGGGUCACAGAACUCGGCUUACGGAGCUCUCCGGCCU